This is a long non-coding RNA of Esox lucius (northern pike), 1367 nucleotides long. RefSeq lists it as uncharacterized. Lineage: Eukaryota; Metazoa; Chordata; Actinopteri; Esociformes; Esocidae. The transcript is spliced from 7 exons. The record is from RefSeq and is a predicted model, not a curated record.
UGAACGUGUGAAACGGGCAGCUGCUAACGAGGAGAAGCAUGAGCCAAACUGGCGAAGAUAUGACGUAAAGGUCGUCAGAACUUGUGAUCACUACAAAAACGCCAUCAGGCUAAUGAAUCAAUAUCAGACCGGCUGCAACACCUCUGAGCUACAGUCUGGGGCAGAGCAGGAGGGUGAGCUGCCAGAGAAACGAGUCAGGAAGCCAAUCAGCCAUCAUUUUGGGGACUCUGAUGAGAGUGAAGAAGAGACAGAAAAUUGUGACUUAGCUUCUCUGAGGUCCCACGACCUUCCAACUCGGCUGGUGUAUCAGUUGGAUCCUCAAGCCCAAACCAAUUAAACUGCUCCACCAUCUCGCCGAGUGCCAGGCAGCAGAGUCACUACUCCUCAACCUGGAGGAAACUGUCUAGGGCCAUUGUUUGGCCCUGUAGCUCGCAGCAUACCAUUGGUUAACAGAUCACAACCAUUUAAUAGCAAUCUCUCUCCCUUAGCACCUGACCAUGGGGCUGGACCGCAACACCCUUCACCACCUCAACUCCCUGCACCUGCAUUUAACAUAAGGAGAGUUACUCAAGGGACGGCAGUCCCUCCUCAACUCCCUCCCCCCCCCGCACCAACCCUCAACAUGAGGCGAACAGAGGAUCCCUCUUCAAGCCUGGCCUACAGACCAACAUGCGGCUGAGGUCCACAUCCUUAGCCUGCUGGAGACCAUUAAACAGCAACAAGACCAGCUUGUGGCAAAGGUGAACUACCUCAGCAGCAGGCUGAACAGCAACCCCGGGGCCAGAUGCCGGACAAUAUCCAGAUUCCCCUGGAACAAUUGGAGGCAGUGGAGGCAUUUGAAAUGUUUUUAAAGGAACCGUCAAAUGGCCCAGCUCGACAGAGAGUGGUUGGCUCUGGAUGACCUGUAGACCUCUGCAUCUGCAAUCCAAAAGCAGCGUCACAUGCUUUUAGCAGUUGUCAGACCUCUCUAUUCAACCACGGCUUCUGGUUCGUGAAGGUCUUCAUUAGAUUAUGGGUGGUGACAUUGUUGAUGCAGAUGUUAAUGUAAUCUAGAACGUUGAAGCAUGUGUUUCAAUGUCCGUAUGGGAGUCAAGGGUGGCUUAAGUGGCAAACAGACUCCAGACUCUGUGUUGAAACUGGUGCUGUAGAAGUAAGUCUGACCCUUUUGACCACACUGACUGUCCUCACUGGUGGUUUCACACGUUUAAUGAGGGGUAAAUACUUGGGUAGUAGGAAUAUUGAGAGAUGGUCAGAUUCAUCCAGAUGGGGGAGGGGAAUGGCUUUGUAAGCCUCUGGAAUGUUUGUGUACACCUGGUCCACUGUAUUGCAUUUUGGUGGAAUUAAGGAAAAAUAAAAAAAGGCUUUCA